UUUGCCUCUAGUUGCUAUCUAUCCAAUCAUCUCGGGUUUUCUUGUUUUUUUAAAGUUUGAUUGAAAUGGCAAGUCAAAGAACCACACAGCUCAUAACCAGUCUUACAAGGCUCACAAGAACGGGAUCAAGAAACCAAGAAGGCACAGAUGAAUCCCAAGUUCGUGAGGAAUCUAAGAGAUAUGCAAGGAAGCAUAACAAGAAGAGUGGUGAAUCUACAACGGAGGAAGAGUAAAUCUUGGAACCGUGUUUGGUUCCUCUUUCACCUAGGAAAGAAUGUGGAGUAGAAAGCAUACACCUUGAUCGUGAUUCAUGAAAAUAGUUUUAGCUCAAGGCGUAGUUUUGUCACUGAAAUGUAUAGCACACUACAC
RNAcentral lists this unclassified non-coding RNA (369 nucleotides) under Hevea brasiliensis (rubber tree). Lineage: Eukaryota; Viridiplantae; Streptophyta; Magnoliopsida; Malpighiales; Euphorbiaceae. The record is from RNAcentral.